GAUCCUGGCUCAGGAUGAACGCUAGCUACAGGCUUAACACAUGCAAGUCGAGGGGCAGCAUGUUGGUUGCUUGCAACCAACGAUGGCGACCGGCGCACGGGUGAGUAACGCGUAUCCAACCUUCCGCAUACUCGGGAAUAGCCUUUCGAAAGAAAGAUUAAUGCCCGAUGGUUUCCCGAAUCCGCAUGAGAACGGGAAUAAAGAUUCAUCUGUAUGCGAUGGGGAUGCGUCCCAUUAG
RNAcentral lists this ribosomal RNA (238 nucleotides) under uncultured bacterium. RNAcentral describes it as "partial 16S ribosomal RNA". It matches the Rfam family "Bacterial small subunit ribosomal RNA", at positions 15 to 244 of the family's 1533-position model. The record is from RNAcentral.